This 29-nucleotide non-coding RNA is filed under the name Mus musculus (house mouse). Lineage: Eukaryota; Metazoa; Chordata; Mammalia; Rodentia; Muridae. The record is from RNAcentral.
UGGGCUUUCAGGAUUAUCUGUGCCGUCCC